This 155-nucleotide ribosomal RNA is filed under the name Fusarium proliferatum. RNAcentral describes it as "5.8S ribosomal RNA". It matches the Rfam family "5.8S ribosomal RNA". From Rfam's summary of the family: 5.8S ribosomal RNA (5.8S rRNA) is a component of the large subunit of the eukaryotic ribosome. It is transcribed by RNA polymerase I as part of the 45S precursor that also contains 18S and 28S rRNA. The record is from RNAcentral. Lineage: Eukaryota; Fungi; Ascomycota; Sordariomycetes; Hypocreales; Nectriaceae.
CAUAAAUAAAUCAAAACUUUCAACAACGGAUCUCUUGGUUCUGGCAUCGAUGAAGAACGCAGCAAAAUGCGAUAAGUAAUGUGAAUUGCAGAAUUCAGUGAAUCAUCGAAUCUUUGAACGCACAUUGCGCCCGCCAGUAUUCUGGCGGGCAUGCC